This is a long non-coding RNA of Salarias fasciatus (jewelled blenny), 493 nucleotides long. RefSeq lists it as uncharacterized. The record is from RefSeq and is a predicted model, not a curated record. Lineage: Eukaryota; Metazoa; Chordata; Actinopteri; Blenniiformes; Blenniidae. The transcript is spliced from 3 exons.
CGAUGCGGAGACUCCUUACUGCUGUAAGUGAGCUGACCAAAGAAGUCAGGGACCUGCGGCAGGAGUUCCGAGAAUUCCACCAGUCCUGCAGGUGUGGCCAGGCUGUAGCGCCAGUGGGACCUCAGCUGGGGGUGCCCUUCGGCUUGCCAUUGUGCAAUUUAGAGGCACUAGACCAAGCAGAGGCCGCUCUGCAAACAGAGGACAACCAGGGAGCAAUGACUGUACUGCUUGCCAAAAUUGGAGGGACCACUGUGGAGCUCAAAAUCCGGAGGAUGCUGGCAUGGACCCUCACAAAUGAGCUAGCUUCUGAAAUCAACUGGGCUGGGAAAAAAAACAAGGAUCCAUCCAAACAGAAGCGCCCUUUCAGAGAGCUGGCUCUCUCCAAGUGCAUGUUUGAUGCUCUUGUUCUGGAGGGAGGAACAGCCACACAAUUUGAGUUUGCACAGGUGGUGCAGAAGUGGCUGCGCUACGCACCGGAUAGGGCAGGGGGGAC